AUGAACGCUGGCGGCGUGCCUAAUACAUGCAAGUCGAGCGAACAGACGAGGAGCUUGCUCCUCUGACGUUAGCGGCGGACGGGUGAGUAACACGUGGAUAACCUACCUAUAAGACUGGGAUAACUUCGGGAAACCGGAGCUAAUACCGGAUAAUAUAUUUAACCGCAUGGUUCAAUAGUGAAAGACGGUUUUGCUGUCACUUAUAGAUGGAUCCGCGCCGCAUUAGCUAGUUGGUAAGGUAACGGCUUACCAAGGCAACGAUGCGUAGCCGACCUGAGAGGGUGAUCGGCCACACUGGAACUGAGACACGGUCCAGACUCCUACGGGAGGCAGCAGUAGGGAAUCUUCCGCAAUGGGCGGAAGCCUGACGGAGCAACGCCGCGUGAGUGAUGAAGGUCUUCGGAUCGUAAAACUCUGUUAUUAGGGAAGAACAAAUGUGUAAGUAACUAUGCACGUCUUGACGGUACCUAAUCAGAAAGCCACGGCUAACUACGUG
Molecule: ribosomal RNA, 496 nt
Filed under: uncultured bacterium
Lineage: Bacteria
Description: partial 16S ribosomal RNA
Rfam family: Bacterial small subunit ribosomal RNA
Source: RNAcentral